This 492-nucleotide ribosomal RNA is filed under the name Ramisyllis multicaudata. RNAcentral describes it as "partial large subunit ribosomal RNA". It matches the Rfam family "Bacterial large subunit ribosomal RNA", at positions 1813 to 2606 of the family's 2925-position model. Lineage: Eukaryota; Metazoa; Annelida; Polychaeta; Phyllodocida; Syllidae. The record is from RNAcentral.
ACAUUGUUUCUUGAUCCAUACUAUAAGAAAUAAGUACUGCCCAGUGAUAUUAUUUCAACGGCCGCGGUAUACUGACCGUGCGAAGGUAGCAUAAUAAUUUGUCUCCUAAUUAGGGAAUAGAAUGAAUGGACAAACUCGAAACAUACUGUCUCUAUAACACACUAAUAACUUUAUCUUCAGGUGAAAAAGCCUGAAUAUGAUAAAAAGACAAGAAGACCCUAAAAGCUUUAUAUCUUACAGCUAACUCCAAGCACCAUGAUCUUUUGUUGGGACGACAACAAGAAUAAAAAACACUUGUAAAAAUAAAGACCAAGUCUCCAUUAUUAACCAAAAAAAGAAAAUAUGUAAGCUACUCUAGGGGUAACAGGCUAAUGUUCUUAAAGAGUACACAUUGACAAGAACGUUUGGCACCUCGAUGUUGGCUUAGGGACUCUCUUUCAUGCAAAAGUAAAAAAAGAAGGUUUGUUCAACCUAUAAUCCCCUACAUGAUCU